UUCAAGGUUCUUCCAUCUUCUGGCCUGAAAUAUUGAAAUUGAAGCGCAGAUACACAUUUAGACUUUUAUAUCUGUUAAAUUCGAAGAGAGUGUCAGUCAAAUUACAAUUAAUUCAUUUAAUUUGAAUUUAUAUAAGUAAUUAAAUUAUUUUACACAUCAAAAUGACUAUUCAAGUCAAUGUUGUAAUCUAACUACUUAUAUUUACUCUUUCAUGUUUAUAUUUUCCCGAUGUGGGAUU
This 238-nucleotide unclassified non-coding RNA is filed under the name Hevea brasiliensis (rubber tree). The record is from RNAcentral. Lineage: Eukaryota; Viridiplantae; Streptophyta; Magnoliopsida; Malpighiales; Euphorbiaceae.